GACGAACGCUGGCGGCGUGCCUAAUACAUGCAAGUUGAGCGCUGAAGGUUGGUACUUGUACCGACUGGAUGAGCAACGAACGGGUGAGUAACGCGUGGGGAAUCUGCCUUUGAGCGGGGGACAACAUUUGGAAACGAAUGCUAAUACCGCAUAAAAACUUUAAACACAAGUUUUAAGUUUGAAAGAUGCAAUUGCAUCACUCAAAGAUGAUCCCGCGUUGUAUUAGCUAGUUGGUGAGGUAAAGGCUCACCAAGGCGAUGAUACAUAGCCGACCUGAGAGGGGGAUCGGCCACAUUGGGACUGAGACACGGCCCAAACUCCUACGGGAGGCAGCAGUAGGGAAUCUUCGGCAAUGGACGAAAGUCUGACCGAGCAACGCCGCGUGAGUGAAGAAGGUUUUCGGAUCGUAAAACUCUGUUGGUAGAGAAGAACGUUGGUGAGAGUGGAAAGCUCAUCAAGUGACGGUAACUACCCAGAAAGGGACGGCUAACUACGUG
RNAcentral lists this ribosomal RNA (497 nucleotides) under uncultured bacterium. Its description in RNAcentral is "partial 16S ribosomal RNA". It matches the Rfam family "Bacterial small subunit ribosomal RNA", at positions 28 to 507 of the family's 1533-position model. The record is from RNAcentral.